RNAcentral lists this ribosomal RNA (440 nucleotides) under uncultured bacterium. Its description in RNAcentral is "partial 16S ribosomal RNA". It matches the Rfam family "Bacterial small subunit ribosomal RNA", at positions 338 to 795 of the family's 1533-position model. The record is from RNAcentral.
CCUACGGGAGGCAGCAGUAGGGAAUAUUGCUCAAUGGACGAAACCCUGAAGCAGCAACGCCGCGUGAAGGAUGAAGGUUUUCGGAUUGUAAACUCCUUUUGUUAGAGAAGAUAAUGACGGUAUCCAACGACUCAGCACCGGCUAACUCCGUGCCAGAAGCCGCGGUAAUACGGAGGGUGCAAGCGUUAUCCGGAAUCACUGGGCUUAAAGGGCGCGUCGGCGGGAUAGCAAGUCUGUUGUGAAAUCCUAUGGCUUAACCAUAGAACUGCAUUUGAAACUGGUAUUUUAGAGGAUGGGAGAGGUGGGUGGAAUUCGUGGUGUAGGGGUAAAAUCCGUAGAGAUCAAGAAGAAUACUCAUUGCGAAGGCGGCCUGCUAGAACAUAACUGACACUGAUGCGCGAAAGCGUGGGGAGCAAACAGGAUUAGAUACCCGGGUAGUC